RNAcentral lists this ribosomal RNA (254 nucleotides) under uncultured bacterium. RNAcentral describes it as "partial 16S ribosomal RNA". It matches the Rfam family "Bacterial small subunit ribosomal RNA", at positions 524 to 776 of the family's 1533-position model. The record is from RNAcentral.
GACGAACCGUGCGACCGUUAUUCGGAAUCACUGGGCUUAAAGCGCGUGUAGGCGGAUGGGAACGUCGGCUUCUGAAAGCCCCCGGCUCAACCGGGGAAGUGGGGCCGAAACGACCCGUCUCGAGGGACGUAGGGGGAUCUGGAACUUCCGGUGGAGCGGUGAAAUGCGUUGAGAUCGGAAGGAACACCUGUGGCGAAAGCGGCUCACUGGACCACAACUGACGCUGAGGCGCGAAAGCUAGGGGAGCAAACAGG